CUUCCAUUCUUGGCAUGCAUGCUUUCUCCCUGUACCUGUGUGUGUGUGUGUGUGUGUGUGUGUGUUAUGGAAGGAUAACAAGGCCAGUGCUAUGUCUUCGGUGCCAGAAUGUUCCUUGUCUUCUGGUUCUGUCCUCAAUUCGCUGGUACAUCC
RNAcentral lists this small nucleolar RNA (153 nucleotides) under Oncorhynchus tshawytscha (Chinook salmon). RNAcentral describes it as "Small nucleolar RNA SNORA57". It matches the Rfam family "Small nucleolar RNA SNORA57". Rfam says of the family: U99 belongs to the H/ACA class of snoRNAs which are thought to guide the sites of modification of uridines to pseudouridines, the target for this family is unknown. Lineage: Eukaryota; Metazoa; Chordata; Actinopteri; Salmoniformes; Salmonidae. The record is from Rfam by way of RNAcentral.